UAACGCGUAGGUAACCUGCCUGGUAGCGGGGGGUAACUAUUGGAAACGAUAGCUAAUACCGCAUAAGAACAUUUACUGCAUGGUAGAUGUUUAAAAGGUGCAAAAGCAUCACUACCAGAUGGACCUGCGUUGUAUUAGCUAGUUGGUGAGGUAACGGCUCACCAAGGCAACGAUACAUAGCCGACCUGAGAGGGUGAUCGGCCACACUGGGACUGAGACACGGCCCAG
Molecule: ribosomal RNA, 228 nt
Filed under: uncultured bacterium
Lineage: Bacteria
Description: partial 16S ribosomal RNA
Rfam family: Bacterial small subunit ribosomal RNA
Source: RNAcentral